RNAcentral lists this long non-coding RNA (598 nucleotides) under Dasypus novemcinctus (nine-banded armadillo). Its description in RNAcentral is "lncRNA (ENSDNOG00000051842.1)". Lineage: Eukaryota; Metazoa; Chordata; Mammalia; Cingulata; Dasypodidae. The record is from RNAcentral.
UACAUAAUUCCUGUUUGCUGAAAUAAUAAUGAUUAAUCCUAAUUGGAUGCCUACAUUUUCAGAAAGAUGUGCCGGAUGGGGUGAAAGAGCUAUCAGAAGGUUCAGAAGAAAGCAGUGAUGGUCAGUCAGAUUCCCAGAGUUCUGAGAACAGCAGCAGCAGCAGUGAUGGUGGCAGCAACAAGGAGGGAAAAAAGAGCAGGUUCAAAAGGAAAGACCCUUCUAGAUUGUCACAGCCAUCCUCCCCCCAGUCAGGCUGUCCAUCUCCUUCCAUUCCAGCAGGUAAACUCAUUUCUCCAUCACAGAAGCACACCAAGAAGGCACUAAAGCAGGUAAUCUUGCCAGUCUGUGUCAGAACUAUAAUCUACUUUAAAAAUGUAUGUCCUAGUCAUUCAGAAUUUCUUGAAAGCUUCUACUGUAGGCCCUUUUAAGGAUAAAUUUUAUUUGGUUAUUUAACAGUAUGUGCUACUGGGUAUGAUAUCUGUGGUAUGUUUUUGGAAGAUAUUCUUUUAUCACAUUUUACAAGUUCCUAAUUUGCUAAGAAGUUUUUGUUUCUUUAAAAAUCGUGAAUAGCUGUUGAAUUUUUUCAAAUUUUCUCCCC